GCAAACUUGGUCAUUUAGAGGAAGUAAAAGUCGUAACAAGGUUUCCGUAGGUGAACCUGCGGAAGGAUCAUUACCAAUGCAGCGAGAAAUCGCUACAAACCACCUGCUGGCGGCCCUCAUGGGCUGCCAACUGGUCAACCCUUUGUGAACCAAAAAACCUUUCGCUUCGGCAGCUGGGCUCCCUAACCGGGCCUGUCAGCCUGCCGCUAGCACCCAACCAAAAACCUGUUGUCAAACAUUGUCUGAUAACCAAAAUUUUCGAAUGAAAAUCAAAACUUUCAACAACGGAUCUCUUGGUUCCCGCAUCGAUGAAGAACGCAGC
This 322-nucleotide unclassified non-coding RNA is filed under the name uncultured fungus. RNAcentral's name for it is "partial contains small subunit ribosomal RNA, internal transcribed spacer 1, and 5.8S ribosomal RNA". The stretch from base 1 to 73 matches the Rfam family "Eukaryotic small subunit ribosomal RNA", at positions 1759 to 1831 of the family's 1831-position model. Lineage: Eukaryota; Fungi. The record is from RNAcentral.